Molecule: long non-coding RNA, 316 nt
Filed under: Jatropha curcas
Lineage: Eukaryota; Viridiplantae; Streptophyta; Magnoliopsida; Malpighiales; Euphorbiaceae
Description: long non-coding RNA (JCUR_LNC002209)
Source: RNAcentral
AAAAAAAGAAAAAGAAAAAGAAGAAGCCCAAGUCUUAUUAUUUUGUUGUAAGCAAUCUUCUGAUUGUUUUCCAAGUUGUUUAGCGAUAAAAAAAUAAAAAAAAUCAAAAUUAGAAAAUCUCAAGGAGAGAACCCAAAAUCUCUUGAUACGAUAAUAUAACUAAAGCGACAGAAAACGAGAAAAAUGAAAAAUAAAAAAAGGAUUAGGAGGGGAUUUCUGAAUUGUGAAGGGUCAAUAGUGGGUACCCACCUUCAGAUUCCGGCCAACCAGAAUUUGGUGUUUUAGACGAAACUUCGCCAACUACACACAUCCAAAC